This 460-nucleotide ribosomal RNA is filed under the name uncultured bacterium. Its description in RNAcentral is "partial 16S ribosomal RNA". It matches the Rfam family "Bacterial small subunit ribosomal RNA", at positions 338 to 795 of the family's 1533-position model. The record is from RNAcentral.
CCUACGGGAGGCAGCAGUGAGGAAUAUUGGUCAAUGGCCGUAAGGCUGAACCAGCCAAGUCGCGUGAAGGAAGAAGGACCUAUGGUUUGUAAACUUCUUUUAUAGAGGAAUAAAGGUAUCCACGUGUGGCUAUUUGUAUGUACCUUAUGAAUAAGCAUCGGCUAACUCCGUGCCAGCAGCCGCGGUAAUACGGAGGAUGCGAGCGUUAUCCGGAUUUAUUGGGUUUAAAGGGUGCGUAGGUUGUUUUUUAAGUCAGUGGUGAAAGUUUGUGGCUCAACCAUAAAAUUGCAAUUGAGACUGGCAGUCUUGAGUGUGUUUGAGGUAGGCGGAAUGCGUGGUGUAGCGGUGAAAUGCAUAGAUAUCACGCAGAACUCCGAUUGCGAAGGCAGCUUACUAAGCCAUAACUGACACUGAAGCACGAAAGCGUGGGGAUCAAACAGGAUUAGAUACCCCAGUAGUC